GAGUUUGAUCCUGGCUCAGGAUGAACGCUGGCGGCAUGCCUAAUACAUGCAAGUCGAACGAGAGGAAGGAAAGCUUGCUUUUCUGAAUCUAGUGGCGAACGGGUGAGUAACACGUAGGUAACCUGCCCAUGUGCCCGGGAUAACUUCUGGAAACGGAUGCUAAAACCGGAUAGGUAGCAGACAAGCAUUUGACUGCUAUUAAAGUGGCUUUGGCCAUGAACAUGGAUGGACCUGCGGUGCAUUAGCUGGUUGGUGAGGUAACGGCCCACCAAGGCGACGAUGCAUAGCCGGCCUGAGAGGGCGGACGGCCACAUUGGGACUGAGACACGGCCCAAACUCCUACGGGAGGCAGCAGUAGGGAAUUUUCGUCAAUGGGGGGAACCCUGAACGAGCAAUGCCGCGUGAGUGAGGAAGGUCUUCGGAUCGUAAAGCUCUGUUGUAAGAGAAAAACGGCACUCAUAGGGAAUGAUGAGUGAGUGAUGGUAUCUUACCAGAAAGUCACGGCUAACUACGUGCCAGCAGCCGCGGUAAUACGUAGGUGGCGAGCGUUAUCCGGAAUGAUUGGGCGUAAAGGGUGCGUAGGUGGCAGAUCAAGUCUGGAGUAAAAGGUAUGGGCUCAACCCGUACUGGCUCUGGAAACUGAUCAGCUAGAGAACAGAAGAGGACGGCGGAACUCCAUGUGUAGCGGUAAAAUGCGUAGAUAUAUGGAAGAACACCGGUGGCGAAGGCGGCCGUCUGGUCUGGAUUCUGACACUGAAGCACGAAAGCGUGGGGAGCAAAUAGGAUUAGAUACCCUAGUAGUCCACGCCGUAAACGAUGAGAACUAGGUGUUGGGGGAAUAACUCAGUGCCGCAGUUAACGCAGUAAGUUCUCCGCCUGGGGAGUAUGCACGCAAGUGUGAAACUCAAAGGAAUUGACGGGGGCCCGCACAAGCGGUGGAG
This 941-nucleotide ribosomal RNA is filed under the name human gut metagenome. Its description in RNAcentral is "bacterial SSU rRNA". It matches the Rfam family "Bacterial small subunit ribosomal RNA", at positions 9 to 937 of the family's 1533-position model. The record is from RNAcentral.